UCCCCGUUGCCGGGGCAGUAUGAUUAGAAAAAUUCAACUAAUCACAGGGGUUGCGCUCGUUGAUGGACUUAACCAAACAUCUCACGACACGAGCUGACGACGGCCAUGCAACACCUGUCACUUGGCUCCCGAGGGCACUCUCUCCUUUCGGAAAGAUUCCAAGGAUGUCAAACCCUGGUAAGGUUCUUCGCUUAUCAUCGAAUUAAAGAACACGCUCCACCGCUUGUGCGGGUCCCCGUCAAUUCCUUUAUGUUUUAGUCUUGCGACCGUACUCCACAGGCGGGAUACUUAACGCGUUAGCUUCGCUACGGAGGGGGUCGAUACCCCCCACAGCUAGUAUCCAUCGUUUACGGCGUGGACUAC
This 363-nucleotide unclassified non-coding RNA is filed under the name uncultured bacterium. Its description in RNAcentral is "contains 16S-23S intergenic spacer region". The record is from RNAcentral.